Molecule: unclassified non-coding RNA, 157 nt
Filed under: Hirsutella citriformis
Lineage: Eukaryota; Fungi; Ascomycota; Sordariomycetes; Hypocreales; Ophiocordycipitaceae
Description: sequence contains ITS2
Source: RNAcentral
CAACCCUCGAGCACCGCUCGGCGUUGGGGGAGCGGCCCGCGCGCCGCCCCCCGAAAUGCAGUGGCGACCUCGCCGCGUCCACCCCUGCGCAGUAGCUCUCCCGAGAACCUCGCAUCGGCGGCGCGGCGGCGGUCACGCCGUGAAACGACCCUCCAAG